This is an RNA transcript of Hevea brasiliensis (rubber tree), 1560 nucleotides long. It is a transcript of the gene named F-box protein PP2-B10-like, with no coding region annotated. The transcript is spliced from 6 exons. The record is from RefSeq and is a predicted model, not a curated record. NCBI's taxonomy places the organism in Eukaryota, Viridiplantae, Streptophyta, Magnoliopsida, Malpighiales, Euphorbiaceae.
AGUUUUAAAAAUGACACCCAUAGUUUCAUUUGGAGGGAGAUUCGAUUUCAGACUUUCAACCUCGAUAGCACGACCUAACGGUUUCCUCUCAUCUUUUUCUUCUCGGGAAGCUCCCUUUCCAUUUGAGAGGGACGAGUCCAGAGUUAGUGGCCUUGGAGUAGGAAAUUGGAAGAAGCAGCUGGUGGAGGAAAUAGAAUGAAUUUUGAAUUUCGCUUGAUUGGGUUUUUGAGUUUAGUGCCGGCGAACGUUCAACCGUUUUCAGGUCCUCUCGAUGUCUGCAAAGAGUCAUCUCAGCCUCUGUGAUUCUCCGAUUCUCAUCGACGAUGGCAGAAAGAGCUUUGCAUUGGAGAAAUGGACCGGGAGGAAAUGCUACAUGCUUUCUGCAAGGGACCUUACAAUUAUCUGGUCCAAUUCUCCAGAUUAUUGGAGAUGGUUACCCGACCCAGAUUCCAGCUUUUCGGAAGUGGCUGAGCUUAUUGAUGUUUUUUGGUUUGAAAUCAAUGGCGAAAUUAGUAUCCAGAUGUUUUCCCCAGAAAUAUCAUAUGCGGCGUACUCGGUGUUCAAAUUGAUAACAAGUGCUUAUGGGUUUGAAGGACAUCCAGCAGAGAUCACUGUAGAACUUGCUGGAAGUGAAAAGGAUAAGCGUAGUGGUUUUUUGGUUCCAGUAAGAGGACAGAGGCGCCAACACCAGACUUUAAGAAGGCUAACUGGUUUGUUUAACUGCAGCCGGGUUUCGGGUUCGCAACCCUCUGUGCCUCCCGGAAAAAGCUAUGGCAAAUACCCGAAAGAGAGAGUAGAUGGGUGGCUGGAGAUUGAAUUGGUUGAGUUCUGUAACAAGAAAGGCGGAGAUGGAAAAUUGAAGAUAUGUUUACGGGAGACAGGUGGUCGCCGGAAACGUGGUGUCAUUGUUCAAGGGAUAGAGAUUAGGCCGAAAGGAGAAAGCAAAAUUAAGCAAGCAAUCGCUAAUUGAAGGACUUGGCCUAUGUUUUCUGACUUGUUACUUCAAAAGUCAACUUCUAUUGAGAAUAUGGAGGUUGCUAAAUAAUGAAAGUUGAAAGGUUUAAAUUCAUUCUAAGAUCUCAAUUUUAGUCACUGCAAAGAGUUCAAAAGCUAUAAGGUGUUUAACUGUCAGGAGCAAUAUUGUUUGAGGCAAAGAUUUCUUCGGGAAGCAGAUGUGUGAAAAUUUGUCAAAAAUGCAGGCUAAACAAACCUCACUGCCUAUCCUGGACAGAUUUGAAUGUUCAGUUAACAAACUGAAGCAGAGAAGAUAUCAAGACAGUGACUACAGAUUGAUGGUGUAACAAGUUGCUUUGACACAAGCCAUGUAUGCAACCUGCUGAAAUCAGACAUUUCUGAGUAACUUAUCUUUCUCCUGUUGAUUUUCCUAGUCAAUUGGACUGAUGACACGAGUCAUUUGUCGAGGGGGAAAAGAAGAAGACUGCAUAUAGUUGUUAAUCAUUGGUUGUUGAUGUACUUAUUUUAUGUAGGCAUUUUAAGGUAUUUUUGUAUCCAUUUUCCCCUUUAACUUUAUGUUCUAUAGCAUUUUUAACCUUUAUUUUA